RNAcentral lists this ribosomal RNA (468 nucleotides) under uncultured bacterium. Its description in RNAcentral is "partial 16S ribosomal RNA". It matches the Rfam family "Bacterial small subunit ribosomal RNA", at positions 28 to 507 of the family's 1533-position model. The record is from RNAcentral.
GAUGAACGCUGGCGGCGUGCUUAACACAUGCAAGUCGAACGGAAAGGCCCAAGCUUGCUUGGGUACUCGAGUGGCGAACGGGUGAGUAACACGUGGGUGAUCUGCCCUGCACUUCGGGAUAAGCCUGGGAAACUGGGUCUAAUACCGGAUAGGACCACUUCUUGGAUGUUGUGGUGGAAAGUUUUUUCGGUGUGGGAUGAGCUCGCGGCCUAUCAGCUUGUUGGUGGGGUAAUGGCCUACCAAGGCGUCGACGGGUAGCCGGCCUGAGAGGGUGUACGGCCACAUUGGGACUGAGAUACGGCCCAGACUCCUACGGGAGGCAGCAAUGGGGAAUAUUGCACAAUGGGCGCAAGCCUGAUGCAGCGACGCCGCGUGGGGGAUGACGGCCUUCGGGUUGUGAACUCCUUUCGCUAGGGACGAAGCGUUUUUGUGACGGUACCUGGAGAAGAAGCACCGGCUAACUACGUG